AACUUUCAGCAAUGGAUCUCUUGGUUCUGGCAUCGAUGAAGAACGCAGCGAAAUGCGAUAAGUAAUGCGAAUUGCAGAAUUCAGUGAGUCAUCUAAUCUUUGAACGCACAUUGCGCCCUUUAGUAUUCUGAAGGGCAUGCCUGUUCGAGCGUCAUUAUCACUAAUCAAGCCUGGCUUGCUGUUGGACCUCUUGUCGUUAAAAGACAGGUCCCAAAGAUAAUGACGGUGUUAUUAGAACCCUAGAUGCAACGAGCUUUAACUAGCACGCAUGAUAGUGGCCUUUUAACCCGGUCUUUUUUAAACCAAUUUUUAAAGGUUGACCUCGGAUCAGGUAGGAAUACCCGCUGAACUUAAGCAUAUCAAUAAGCGGAGGCU
This 375-nucleotide unclassified non-coding RNA is filed under the name uncultured Herpotrichiellaceae. RNAcentral describes it as "sequence contains ITS2". The stretch from base 1 to 154 matches the Rfam family "5.8S ribosomal RNA". The record is from RNAcentral. Lineage: Eukaryota; Fungi; Ascomycota; Eurotiomycetes; Chaetothyriales; Herpotrichiellaceae.